GAAAAUUCAAUGGAUCUGUUUGUUUCGAAUUUCGCGCAUAGCUAUUCGUUGACUUUUGGCGCCAGCCGUUCCUAAUUUAGCAGUGAUAGAUUAGAGGGAAAGCAGAUAAUCAACACCACCCACCGCAAACUCUUGGGACGAUCUUUUAACAAGGAAUAGUGAGAAUGACCGUAAAAUCAUAACGCCCCAACCCAGAAAGACCGAGCAUGUUGACGAAGAUUCAAACCCGUAAACUGAGAGUCGAGCGUCUAACCACCAGGCCCUGCCAGGCUGGAAAAUUAAUGAUAAGUGAUUUUGAUAAUUUUCAUAGUCUUCCGUUCCCUUAUAAAUAAACGGAUAUCUUCUAUUUCUUUCAUUACCUUAAUACUUUGCUUAGUUAACUGGCAUGUGCGGAAGCGUUCCAUCUUGUUAAUUAUUUUUUAUUAUAUUUGUUUCAUAUUCUUUUGGAAAGUAGAAUUCGAUAGAUGUCUCUAAAAGUAAAACAACCGGAGGGAUGAAGAGAAAUGUCUGUUUCUUAGUUUAAAUUUAAAAUUGUAAACCGAAAAUCCGACCAAAAAUGUACAUGUGAACACGGGAGGUAUUAAUUUUUUUUAAAGUAAUAAUAUUCAGCUCUUAAUACGUGGGAAGAAAACCCACUGUAUAUGUUCGAUCUAACUGCAAGGUUUGAUAAGAAUAUAAAGGUGAAGCUACUAUAUAAUCAUGGAAGUAUUAAAGAUGAAGGUUGAAUCUUUUCCUGAUGAGGAGCAGGAUUCUUUGUUGGACAUCAAAUUGAUAAAAAAGGAAGAUGAAACUUUCACAAUAACUAGUACUACAGGAGAAGCUAAUUCCUUGGAAGAAAGUUCCAAACAAAUCAUUUUGAAGUUUGGUAUAGCAAAAGAAGACCAACAGGAAAAGUGUGAUGAUGCAUUUGAGAAAAGUGAGAAGCCUGAUGAUCUGCUACAAGAUGAUGUUAUUUCAAAAUUCAGUUAUAGUGAUGAUGAGGAUCAAAAUAGCUCACACUAUAAUAUUAUAAAUGUGAAAACAGAAAUUGAAUUUCAAAGAGAUAUCGAAUCUGGGUUAGAAAGAACAUCUGAUAUAAAGGCCAGUGUGAACAUCUGUUGUGGGAAUCAGAUUCCUGGUUAUGAUGUCAUAAAAGAAGAUCUCUUUACAGAAGACAUAAUAUCUCCAAGCAAAAAUACUUGUGGAGAAACCGAGUUAAGUGGAAAUAACCUAAAAUCAUCUAAUAUACACCAGUGUCAUAAUAAACUAUACAGUUGUCAGAAAAAAAAUUAUAACCUAAAAAAACAAAAGAGGAUACACUCUGGAGAGAAAACAUUUCACUGUACAGUGUGUGGGAAACAGUUUGAUAGAAAUAGUCACUUGAAACGACAUGAAAGAACACACACUGGGGAGAAACCUUACAGUUGUAUAGUGUGUGCUAGGCAAUUUGUAUCAAAAUGUAACUUAAAACAACAUCAAAGAAUACACACUGGGGAGAAACCUUACAGUUGUACGGUGUGUGCUAAACAAUUUAUAUCACACUGUAACUUAAAACAACAUCAAAGGAUACACACCGGGGAGAAACCUUACAGUUGUACAGUGUGUGCUAAACAAUUUAUAUCACACUGUAACUUAAAACAACAUCAAAGAAUACACACUGGGGAGAAGCCUUACAGUUGUACAGUUUGUGCUAAACAGUUUAGAACAAAAAGUGAAUUAGAAAAAACAUUAUAAUUUUUUAAAAGACAAAGAAAAUAUACAAAUAUUGCACAUACCAUCCACAGUCUCAAGGAGGAUUAGAAAGAUUGGAAUGAUGGGAUCUAUUUGUUUUUGUUUGCAGCCCAAGAGACCUUCCACUCAAGUCCAUUUGUGUUUAUGUUUGUGCAUGGUUCACUCUAAUUAUUGAAAGAUAAUGGUUAUGAAAGAAGACAAAGUUAAAUCUAUUGUACUACAUGUCGAAUUUCAAAGACAGAAUAAUGAAAGCAUGCUCCAUUGCUAGGGACAAGUUGCAGGAUUCUCAAGAAGACAUGAUAGUAUGAUACACAAAAAAGGUUUGUAGAAAAUUCACUGGGAGUUAUGAAAAUAUUGAAACAACCGAUAUUUCAACUACAAAGUGAUUCAAACUUAAAGAAUAUAAAGGUGAAGCUU
Molecule: unclassified non-coding RNA, 2127 nt
Filed under: Limulus polyphemus (Atlantic horseshoe crab)
Lineage: Eukaryota; Metazoa; Arthropoda; Merostomata; Xiphosura; Limulidae
Description: zinc finger protein 883-like, transcript variant X2
Source: RNAcentral